Molecule: ribosomal RNA, 1151 nt
Filed under: Badhamia sp.
Lineage: Eukaryota; Evosea; Eumycetozoa; Physariida; Physaraceae
Description: partial small subunit ribosomal RNA
Rfam family: Eukaryotic small subunit ribosomal RNA
Source: RNAcentral
UGGCAAGUCGACCAAAGGCGAAAGCAGUCAUCAAGGGCAUACCCGUUGGUCAAGAGCGAAAGUUAAGGGUUCGAAGACGAUCAGAUACCGUCGUAGUCUUAACUAUAAAUGAUACAGACCAGGGAUAGGACACUGUCCAUCUCGACUCCUCCUGCACCUUAUAGAAAUUACAGUCUUUGGGUUCUGGGGGGAGUAUGGUCGCAAGGCUGAAACUUAAAGGAAUUGACGGAAGGGCACACAAAGAGUGGAACCUGCGGCUUAAAAGGUUGGCUUAGGCGGCUAAAGUUGGGAUCGGUAAUCAGGCACGCCUACAUUUUGACUCUUCGAGGCGCCUGAAUCUACCACUGCUAGCUAGUCGACCCCCCCAAGUGAAUUUGGUUGAGGUGGGGGGCGGCGAGACAACCUGGUACGGGGGAAAUCUGGCUCUAGACAGACGACCCCGUGGCGAGCUACCGGCAGGCGACUGCUGGAUUGGCCGUCGUAACGCACGGAAAGGUGUCGGGUGCUCUCACAGAUUGUUCUGGUCGUGAGGCGCCUUAAGGGACGUGCUACUCCCACCCCCCUGGAGCAAGAAGACAAGGGGGGUGCUCGCAAGUAAGCUCUCAACCAGCCCAGAUGCGAGACCCGUAGAUCCUGGGCGGCACUCAGUGCCACUGGGGGAGGGCGGUAGGAAGGUAAUUUGACUCAACACGGGAAAACUCACCAGGUCCGGAUACACGCAUGAAAGUCAAGCUGAAAGACUUUACUCAAUGAUGUAAGUGGUGGUGCAUGGUCGUUCUUAGUUCGUGGAUUGAUUUGUCUGGUCUAUUCCGAUAACGAGCGAGACCCCAACGUUCCUAAUAGGGGCAGCAGCCCGGCUUGGCCGCAAGGUCUUGCUAGCAGCAGCCUGAGAUUCACUUCUUAGACGUAUCAGAGCCGAUAAGGUUCUUGAAAUGGGUUAAUAACAGGUCAGUCAUGCCCUUAGAUGUUCUGGGCCGCACGCGCGUUACAAUGGUAUGCUUAAACAGUGCUCUCGAAAGCGUUUCCGGGGCCGAAAGGUCCUGGUAACCAUUAGAUCCUACCUUGACUGGGACAGAUCUUUGCAAUUAUUGGUCUCCAACGAGGAAUUUUUAGUAGUCGCAGGUCAUUAACCUGCGACGAAUGCGUCCCUG